CUGGAAAAUCUGAAUACAUGAGUUCUUCAGUAGCCUACUGUUUAGAAAACGACCUUAUUAGUGGGUUGAGAAAGCGAACAGUGUGCAGAGCUGUAAUCUAGACAUUUAUAAAAUGUGGUAAAUAGUUAGAAUGAUGAAUAAGUAGGUGUGUCCAACUUUGACCGGUUGUGUAGUUUGAGGAAACUAGUUCAAGUUAUUGCACUCAGGCACUUUCUCAGUCGUCUACACCGGGUCCUUCGCUCCUCCUGUAGUGUGUCCACGUGGAGCUCAUGCGCUCUUAAAGCGGUAGACGGGUUCGUUGUACAGCAUAUGGGUGAGUUAAAUGUUAUUUGAUCGGGUUUUAUAGUAAAUGUUUACGACACCAUGAGGACAAGUGUGAAUGUACAUUUAUAUUAAUUUGCAUACGUUAGAUUGCUCCACGUGAGUAGUUCCAAAAAUGACAACAGCUGACUUUAAAUCUAUUUAUUGUAAAAACAGAAGAAAAAAGUGAAGCUAGUUCAAUUAAAAUGCUGUUUAUACUGAAUCCACGCAGACACAGUACAGUUCUCGGUCUUGCCUUUUUGUGUUGCCCAUUCAUUUUCCAUUAGAUGAAUGUGGUGUCUUCUAAGGCGCACAAUAAAUCUUGAAAUAGCCACAUUUAUGAGAGAACACUCUUCAUUGUUCCUCUUGCUUGCGCUAUGACAAGAACAGCAUUCACAAUAAGCUAUAUCCAUGACUUGAACAUUUCUGUGCAUGCUUUAACAAUCAUGUUCUAUCGUUUCAGGUGAGCAGCGUGGACAGGGUCACAGACACCUGGUAUGCAGCUGUGAACAUUUCCCUUCUCUUAGCUGUUUAAGUUUUAGUGAAGCCAGUCAUGCCUUAAAGUGUUGCCUGUUCAUCACUUUUCAGAUGAAUGUGGUGUCAGCUAGGGCAAAUAUUAACACAUGAGGUGGCUGUUAAGAAGGGUUUACAUCUGUGCCUUUCAAUAGUUUCAUCUUAUGGACAUCAACUUUUUAAACAAUCGAUGAUGCGUUGUAUACUAUCAUAAUGCAAUCCAUAAAAUGCAAAGCUUAGUGCUAAUUGCAUUUCAUCCUGUUUAUUAUAAAGGGUGUAUAGUCACAGAAGAGUGGUUCUUUCCAGCGGCUGUAAAUUACCCAGAAUUCAAGGACUAGAGAUGCUGUUUUCUGUAUGUGUGAAUAUGCAUGACAUACUUUUAUAAAUAAAACCUUCUGUUUAACUGUC
Long non-coding RNA from Cyprinus carpio (common carp), 1221 nucleotides. RefSeq lists it as uncharacterized. The record is from RefSeq and is a predicted model, not a curated record. The transcript is spliced from 2 exons. NCBI's taxonomy places the organism in Eukaryota, Metazoa, Chordata, Actinopteri, Cypriniformes, Cyprinidae.